CAGUGUCUGCCUCGGAUCUCACAGUUUGUUCCUGUUCUUCUUCAGAAACAUUACUUCCCCAUCAACUACAGGAUUGCUGUGCCUUAUGAGGGGGUACUCAGAGUGGCCAACAUCACGAGGCUGAAGGCCCAUGUGAGUGAGCGAGAGCUGCGGUACCUGUGGGUCUUGGUGAGCCUCAACGCCACUGAGUCUGUGCUGGAUGUGCUGCUGGAGGGACACCCAUCCUGGAAGUAUCUACAGGAGGUUCAGACAUUGCUGGAGAAUGUUCAGCGGAGCCUCAUGG
This 283-nucleotide long non-coding RNA is filed under the name Rattus norvegicus (Norway rat). Its description in RNAcentral is "long non-coding RNA NONRATT014256". The record is from RNAcentral. Lineage: Eukaryota; Metazoa; Chordata; Mammalia; Rodentia; Muridae.